This 443-nucleotide ribosomal RNA is filed under the name uncultured bacterium. Its description in RNAcentral is "partial 16S ribosomal RNA". It matches the Rfam family "Bacterial small subunit ribosomal RNA", at positions 338 to 795 of the family's 1533-position model. The record is from RNAcentral.
CCUACGGGCGGCAGCAGUGGGGAAUAUUGGGCAAUGGGCGCAAGCCUGACCCAGCAACGCCGCGUGAAGGAAGAAGGCUUUCGGGUUGUAAACCUCUUUUAUGAGGGACGAAAGAAGUGACGGUACCUCACGAAUAAGCCACGGCUAACUACGUGCCAGCAGCCGCGGUAAUACGUAGGUGGCGAGCGUUAUCCGGAAUUACUGGGUGUAAAGGGCGUGUAGGCGGGCUUGCAAGUCAGGUGUGAAAGCUAUGGGCUCAACCCAUGGCCUGCAUUGGAAACUGUAGGUCUGGAGUGAUGGAGAGGCAGGCGGAAUUCCGUGUGUAGCGGUGAAAUGCGUAGAUAUACGGAGGAACACCAGUGGCGAAGGCGGCCUGCUGGACAUUAACUGACGCUGAGGCGCGAAAGCGUGGGGAGCAAACAGGAUUAGAUACCCCUGUAGUC